GGUGCCGGCGGGAGGACGCGGGCGGCGCGCGGGGCUGCGGCACCCACGGGCGGCCCGGCGGGACCGCACCGGAACUGAGCACCGCACACACCGCACACACCGCACACACCGCACACACCGCGCCGGGACCCCGCUCCGCGCCGGGACACGGCCCCGGCAGCGCCUCCCGCCGGCACCGGGGUCCCGGCGGUUCCAGGGGCGCAGCGGAGGCAGGAAGGAGAAGAGGGAUCCCCGUGUCCCCACUGCCCUGCCAGAGGAAGGAGGAGCCGAGAGAAGGCUCUCAUCGAUCCUUCCCAGCAGUGCGGAGCAGCCAGGACUCAGCUGUGAGCUGCCAAACUGACGGGGAGGACUCUGUCCUGCUGCCUGCCUGGCUCCGUCCCCAUCCCACUGCCAGCACCACCGCUGUCCCCUGUCCCCUGCCAAUGCCGGCAGGUGGAGGCUGCACGCACAGUCACUGCACUGGCAUCCCAAGUGUGAGACCAAGCUGUGGGCCCUGUUUACUCCUGUGGGACAGUGGCUAUGGGGGCUGCUCUCUCCACUGGGGCGAUCGUGGCAAUUUCUUUUAACUGUGUCAUUGCGUUGCUCAUCCUCAUCCUCUUCCUCAUCCUCUGCAAAGCUUGCAGGACCCCUUCAUGUCCCAAGAAGAGCCCAGCUUCUGAUGUGGAUGAGUCAAGGAAUGAAGAGAAAUACCUGCUGCAGCCCUGAUCUGCCUGAUUUGGGGAGCUGGGUACCCAGCUGUGCCAGAGGAGUUGCUCCAGCCUGGAUGCUUCUGCUAGGACUGGAGUGCCAAACUAGGCAUGAUGAAAGCAGGCGGGACACUGAGCUGCUCACAGGGGCCAUGACAGGGGGCACAGUCCUUUGCCUUGGUGGUUUUAGUGUGUGAAGUUCCUGCGAGUGCCUGCAGUGAUCAUGGGGAUAGAGAGACAACAGAUGGGGAUGUGCUACAGGGACAAUCAUGCCUAUCCCAGCGGCCAGAAAGCACAGCAGGAGCCCUGCCCUCAUGUGCACCCCGUGCUUGGGAAGAGCCUGUGGGCCUGGGACAGUGGCCACCACAGCACAGACCUGAGCAAGGCUGGGUGGAGGCUCAGAGAGGGGAGGCAGCAGGGCUGGUACAGGCACUUUUUCCCAAGCAGGCUGGCUGUUCAAUGGUGGGGUGUGCCCAGGGGGACCCAAGCAGCCCCGGCAGAGCAGGGUGUUACCAGUCCAGAUGUUUGGGGGUGGCCCUGGGGUGCCGUGGGUCCCCAGCCUCAGGAUGGCAUUUGGCACACAUCUGCCCAAGCAGCCAGUUUGAUGAGGCACAAGAGGGUCUGCAUGGUCUGCCCGAUCCUCCCCAGUCUGUCUGUCAAUCCCCUCCAGCAUUAGCACUAACGCUGCUAGGCAAACAGCCCUCUUCCUCACCGUGGGUUUGUCCCUGCCUUCCCUCCUGCCUACUGCCAGCUGAGGCCAGACAGUGGGAUUUGGCCAGCCUGCGAGCAGCAGACAUGCCCUCACUGGCAUUCCCAUCCCCACUGACAGCUUUUUCCUGGGGAGGUGGGAGAUGUGGGGAGAUAACAGUGCCCAGAGAAACAGCACUGAAGGUUCUUUGACCCCGACUGUUCCCUGGGGAUCACAGUGGCUCUGUGGGGAGGGAUGCUGGUAGUCUGACUUGUCCUCAAGCCUGGCUGCUGCAUCCCCUGCCCUGCCAGCAGGUGCCGUGGGUUUUGGAGGGCUCUGCCUUGCCUAUCCUAGAGCCGAGCAAUAGCCAUGGUCACUGCUGGCACAGCCACUGCAAUAAGGGGACAGAGGGGUGGGGUGGGAGGGACACUGGCCAGGGUCCCUGCGCAGGCUUGGCCAGGCCUGGCAGAGCCUGGGGUUCCUCCCCAUGUCAGGUGUAGCGAACACAUCCCUUUGCAGCCUUGUUUUUACUAGACUAAUAAACCAAUUGUAGGACCCA
Chiroxiphia lanceolata (lance-tailed manakin) is the source of this 1933-nucleotide RNA transcript. It is a transcript of the gene named energy homeostasis associated, with no coding region annotated. Lineage: Eukaryota; Metazoa; Chordata; Aves; Passeriformes; Pipridae. The transcript has 2 exons. The record is from RefSeq and is a predicted model, not a curated record.